This 289-nucleotide ribosomal RNA is filed under the name uncultured bacterium. RNAcentral describes it as "partial 16S ribosomal RNA". It matches the Rfam family "Bacterial small subunit ribosomal RNA", at positions 773 to 1060 of the family's 1533-position model. The record is from RNAcentral.
GUGGAUUAGAUACCCUGGUAGUCCAUGCCGUAAACGUUGGGCACUAGGUGUGGGGGACAUUCCACGUUUUCCGCGCCGUAGCUAACGCAUUAAGUGCCCCGCCUGGGGAGUACGGCCGCAAGGCUAAAACUCAAAGGAAUUGACGGGGGCCCGCACAAGCGGCGGAGCAUGCGGAUUAAUUCGAUGCAACGCGAAGAACCUUACCAAGGCUUGACAUGGACCGGAUCGGGCUGGAAACAGUCUUUCCCUUCGGGGCUGGUUCACAGGUGGUGCACGGCUGUCGUCAACU